AAGUUCUGUGAUACACUUAGACUCUAAUUGCCUGCAGUCAGUGCAUUACAGAACUUUG
Molecule: microRNA precursor, 58 nt
Filed under: Monopterus albus (swamp eel)
Lineage: Eukaryota; Metazoa; Chordata; Actinopteri; Synbranchiformes; Synbranchidae
Description: Mal-Mir-148-P2_pre stem-loop
Rfam family: mir-148/mir-152 microRNA precursor family
About the family: The hairpin precursors (represented here) are predicted based on base pairing and cross-species conservation -- their extents are not known. In this case the mature sequence is excised from the 3' arm of the hairpin.
Source: RNAcentral